RNAcentral lists this ribosomal RNA (548 nucleotides) under uncultured Glomeromycotina. Its description in RNAcentral is "SSU rRNA". It matches the Rfam family "Eukaryotic small subunit ribosomal RNA", at positions 548 to 1097 of the family's 1831-position model. Lineage: Eukaryota; Fungi; Glomeromycota. The record is from RNAcentral.
UUGGAGGGCAAGUCUGGUGCCAGCAGCCGCGGUAAUUCCAGCUCCAAUAGCGUAUAUUAAAGUUGUUGCAGUUAAAAAGCUCGUAGUUGAAUUUCGGGAUCAUCAGGUUGGUCGUGCCUCCGGUAUGUACUUUCCUCGAUGGUUCCUCCUUCUUGAAGAACCGUAAUGCCAUUAAUUUGGUGUUGCGGGGAAUCAGGACUGUUACUUUGAAAAAAUUAGAGUGUUUAAAGCAGGCAAUCGCUUGAAUACAUUAGCAUGGAAUAAUGAAAUAGGACGUUCGAUCCUAUUUUGUUGGUUUCUAGGAUUGACGUAAUGAUUAAUAGGGAUAGUUGGGGGCAUUAGUAUUCAAUUGUCAGAGGUGAAAUUCUUGGAUUUAUUGAAGACUAACUACUGCGAAAGCAUUUGCCAAGGAUGUUUUCAUUAAUCAAGAACGAAAGUUAGGGGAUCGAAGACGAUCAGAUACCGUCGUAGUCUUAACCAUAAACUAUGCCGACUAGGGAUCGGAUGAUGUUAAUUUUUUAAUGACUCAUUCGGCGCCUUACGGGAAA